UGCCCAGCAACUCCUAUCCUUACCUCUACGCGGUACCGGCCGGAAACUAUGAGCAACCUUAGGGAAGAUCGGGUAACCAACCCCGGUGGGAACUUUGGUCGUAGGCUGACAGGGAAGG
Aedes albopictus (Asian tiger mosquito) is the source of this 118-nucleotide non-coding RNA. Lineage: Eukaryota; Metazoa; Arthropoda; Insecta; Diptera; Culicidae. The record is from Rfam.